This 2519-nucleotide long non-coding RNA is filed under the name Homo sapiens (human). Its description in RNAcentral is "HSALNT0180976". The record is from RNAcentral. Lineage: Eukaryota; Metazoa; Chordata; Mammalia; Primates; Hominidae.
GGUGGAGCUUCUCUGAGGGAAAUGGAAAUCACAGCUGACAUCUACCCUUGGUGAAGGCUAGGUCAAUCCUGGGACAGGAAAUCAAGACUGUGGAGGUGGGCAAGGAUUGCAGGGAGUACGUCUUCCUCUGUGGAGGUGGAGGUUGGUCUUAAGCCUUUCUUUAGGAGACACACUGUUGGGUAUUUUCCCUGGAGAGAAGAAAGACGAUUCCUUCAAGAUGGUGGCCAGCUGAGAGAAAGUCAGGAAGAGCUUGCUCAGGACCUGCUGGGCCCAGCAGCUCUGAACAUCACACAACAAUGCUGGCUGAAGCAUGGGCUUUGGAAUCAGACAGAAUCUGGAUUCACCACUUAUUGAUCAGAUAAGGGAGCAGAAGUGGAUCCCAUGGAAAAAAACAAAGGGCAUUUAGGCAGAAGGCACAUCAUAUAGAAGAGCCAGGUGUACCCACACUGAUCUCCCAUGAGAGAAACCCCAGCUUUCUGGAACACUUCAGGGUGACUGCAUCCCCACAGAAGGAGUGCCCUCUUAGUUCAGGUUUGCACAAGAAAUAGAUCCCAACCUCUCUGUACAUGGAACAUCAGCAUUUCUGCAGAUGAAGAGAGGUGCCUGUCUGAUCUGAAUAGCCAGAACACUGGAUUAGGAGUGUGACUGGGAGUCAGACCACUUUCCUACUAGCCUGGAAGGAGAGCUGUGAUGGCUCCCUCACUUCCUCCUGAAAAGACCUCAGUGAAUUUCACUGAGAGCUUCCCCAGCCACCCUUUUGGCGGCUGGGACCUCUGCCCACCACCUCUGCCCACCACUGGGGUAUUGCAUUUACCCAUGGCUUUAGCCACAGCUGAUUUUUACUCAUGGGUACCUCCUACUAGUCUGAAGCUGGAACUGUUCAAUCCAGUGAGUGAAAUACCAGAGAAACAAAGUUUUAAAAGUGCACAUCACUGGGGAAUGAGAUAAGUUCCAUGAGACCUCUGCCAUUCUAGCUCCACAGGAGACAGUGAACCUGCUCACACACCCAGCACAUUGCUACUACCACCAGUAUCUGAGAAACCUAUCCCACAAAGAUUGUCUAUAACCCAGGAACUCAUACAGAGUCUUUGCCACUGAAAUUAUCCAGAGCUGAAGCAAGGUGACAAUAAACUAGAAACACUAAACUCACAUACUCAAAGGAAAAAAAAUUUUAAACCCAGUUGAAUCAAAAUUAACUCAAAAAUAAUUAGAAGAAGUAGUGUACUCAUAUGAAAAGGAACCAGAAAACCAAUUCUGGCAAUAUGGAAAAAACAGGAUUCCAUAAUACCACCAAAUGUCAACUAGCUUUCCAGCAGUGGAUACAAACCAAGAUGAAACCUUUGAAAUCUCAAAGAAUUAGUAAAGUUUAUUAUCAAUUUACUGAAGGACACAUAAAAGAAAGAAAACCAACAUAAAAAAUUUAAAAAACAAUUUAAGAUGUGAAUGAAAAAUUUUCUGAAGAGAUAGAUAUUUUUUUAAAAUGCCAAUCAGAACUUCUGGAAAGAACAGACACAUUUAGGGAAUUACAAAAUGCAGUGGAAAGUUUUAACAAUAGACUAGACCAAGUAGAAGAAUUAACUUCAGAACCCAAAGACAAGGUUUUUGAGUUAACCUAAUCAAACAAAAUAAAUAAAAAAGAACUAAAGGAAAUUAAGUCUCCAGGAAAUACGGGACUGUGUGAAAUGACCAAACCUAAGAAUUACAGGUGUUCCUAAGGGAGAAGAAAAAGCAAAAAGUUUGGAAAACAUAUUUGAGGGAAUAAUUGAGGAAAACUUUCUGGGCCUUGCUAGAGAUUUAGACAUCCAAAUUUAAGAAGCUCAAAGAACUUCUAGGAGACUCAUUGCAAAAUGGACAUCACCAAGGCAUACAGUCAUCAGGGUAUCUAAAGCCAAUGUAAAGAAAAUAAUUCUGAGAGUAGUGAGACAAAAAUAUGAGCUAACUUAUACAGGAAAACCUAUUAAGCUAACAGCUGACUUCUCAGCAGAAACCUUACAAGCCAGAAGAGACUGGAGUCCUAUCUUUAGUCUCUUUAAGCAGAGAAACUGUCAGCCAAGAAUUUUGUAUCCAGCAAAACUGUUUCAUAAGUGAAGGAGAAGUAAAGUAUCUCUCAGACAAGCAAAUGCUGAGGGAAUUUGUCAAUACUAGAUCAGUUCUAUAAGAAAUGCUAAAAGGAGUUCUAAAUCUUGAAAGAGAAGGUCAAUAUGCACCAGAAUAGAAACUCCUGAAAGCAUAAUAUUCACAAGGCCUAUAAACAAUAACACAAUGAAGAAAAUAAAGUCAGUAGGUAAAAAUCUCAUAAUGACUGGAACAAUAUCUCACAUCUAAAUAUUAAUGUUGAAUGUAAGUGUCCUAAAUGGUGUAUUUAAAAAUACAGAAGGAGAUCGAGACCAUCCUGGCUAACAAGGUGAAACCCCGUCUCUACUAAAAAUACAAAAAAUUAGCCAGGCGCGGUGGCGGGUGCCUGUAGUCCCAGCUACUCAGGAGGCUGAGGCAGGAGAAUGGCGUGAACCCGGGAAGCG